UCCGGCUUGACGCCGGCAGUCCCCCGAGAGUCCACGCUGUAAACGAUGUGUGCUAGUUGUGGGCCCUUCCGGGUCCGUGACGCAGUUAACGCAGUAAGCACACCACCUGGGGAGUACGUUCGCAAGAAUGAAACUCAAAGGAAUUGACGGGGGCCCGCACAAGCGGUGGAGCAUGUGGCUUAAUUCGAUGCAACGCGAAGAACCUUACCUGGGCUAAAUCCGGCCUGCCGGCUCCUGAAAGGGAGCUUUCCUUCGGGACGGGCCGGAAGGUGCUGCAUGGCUGUCGUCAGCUCGUGCCGUGAGGUGUUGCCUUAAGUGGCGCAACGAGCGCAACCCCUGUGGUUAGUUACCAGCACGUGAUGGUGGGGACUCUAGCCAGACUGCCUACGCAAGUAGUGAG
Molecule: unclassified non-coding RNA, 400 nt
Filed under: uncultured Bacteroidota bacterium
Lineage: Bacteria; Pseudomonadati; Bacteroidota
Description: uncultured Bacteroidetes bacterium contains 16S-23S intergenic spacer region
Rfam family: Bacterial small subunit ribosomal RNA
Source: RNAcentral